GCUAUACAUGCAAGUCGAGCGAACUGAUUAGAAGCUUGCUUCUAUGACGUUAGCGGCGGACGGGUGAGUAACACGUGGGCAACCUGCCUGUAAGACUGGGAUAACUUCGGGAAACCGAAGCUAAUACCGGAUAGGAUCUUCUCCUUCAUGGGAGAUGAUUGAAAGAUGGUUUCGGCUAUCACUUACAGAUGGGCCCGCGGUGCAUUAGCUAGUUGGUGAGGUAACGGCUCACCAAGGCAACGAUGCAUAGCCGACCUGAGAGGGUGAUCGGCCACACUGGGACUGAGACACGGCCCAGACUCCUACGGGAGGCAGCAGUAGGGAAUCUUCCGCAAUGGACGAAAGUCUGACGGAGCAACGCCGCGUGAGUGAUGAAGGCUUUCGGGUCGUAAAACUCUGUUGUUAGGGAAGAACAAGUACGAGAGUAACUGCUCGUACCUUGACGGUACCUAACCAGAAAGCCACGGCUAACUACGUGCCAGCAGCCGCGGUAAUACGUAGGUGGCAAGCGUUAUCCGGAAUUAUUGGGCGUAAAGCGCGCGCAGGCGGUUUCUUAAGUCUGAUGUGAAAGCCCACGGCUCAACCGUGGAGGGUCAUUGGAAACUGGGGAACUUGAGUGCAGAAGAGAAAAGCGGAAUUCCACGUGUAGCGGUGAAAUGC
RNAcentral lists this ribosomal RNA (660 nucleotides) under Bacillus sp. JSM 081047. Its description in RNAcentral is "bacterial SSU rRNA". It matches the Rfam family "Bacterial small subunit ribosomal RNA", at positions 48 to 689 of the family's 1533-position model. The record is from RNAcentral. Lineage: Bacteria; Bacillati; Bacillota; Bacilli; Caryophanales; Bacillaceae.